GACGUAGGGUGCGAGCGUUGUCCGGAUUUAUUGGGCGUAAAGAGCUCGUAGGCGGCUCGUCGCGUCGACCGUGAAAACCCGCAGCUUAACUGCGGGCUUGCGGUUGAUACGGGCGGGCUAGAGUUCGGUAGGGGAGACUGGAAUUCCUGGUGUAGCGGUGAAAUGCGCAGAUAUCAGGAGGAACACCGAUGGCGAAGGCAGGUCUCUGGGCCACUACUGACGCUGAGAAGCGAAAGCGUGGGGAGCGAACAGG
RNAcentral lists this ribosomal RNA (253 nucleotides) under uncultured bacterium. Its description in RNAcentral is "partial 16S ribosomal RNA". It matches the Rfam family "Bacterial small subunit ribosomal RNA", at positions 524 to 776 of the family's 1533-position model. The record is from RNAcentral.